Molecule: ribosomal RNA, 466 nt
Filed under: uncultured bacterium
Lineage: Bacteria
Description: partial 16S ribosomal RNA
Rfam family: Bacterial small subunit ribosomal RNA
Source: RNAcentral
GACGAACGCUGGCGGCGUGCUUAACACAUGCAAGUCGAACGGAAAGGCCCCUUUGGGGGGCAUCCGGGUGGGGAACGGGUGGGAACAAGGGGAGUAACCUGCCCUUACCUUGGGAAAAACUUCCGAAAACUGGGGACAAUCCGGGUUGGAAAUCUUUCCUGCUGGGGGGGGGUUGGAAGCCUUCGGGGGUUUUGGAUGGACUGGCGGCUUAGCAGCUUGUUGGUGGGGAAGUGGCUUACCAAGGUUUUGACGGGUAGCCGGCCUGAGAGGGGGACCGGCCACAUUGGGACUGAGAUACGGCCCAGACUCCUACGGGAGGCAGCAGUGGGGAAUAGUGCACAAGGGGCGGAAGCCUGAUGCAGCAACGCCGCGUGCGGGAUGACGGCCUUCGGGUUGGAAACCGCUUGCAGCAGGGGCGAAGCUUGUGGUGACGGUACCUGCAGAAGAAGCACCGGCUAACUACGUG